CACAGGACGUGCACCAUGGCAACGGCACCCAGCAAACCUUCUACCAAGACCCCAGUGUGCUCUACAUCUCCCUGCAUCGCCAUGACGACGGCAACUUCUUCCCGGGGAGUGGGGCUGUGGAUGAGGUAACCGCAUGUCAGGGCCACAUUUUCCAGCCUCAUUGACCUCCUCCUGGCACUUACUCUGCCUCUGUCAUGACGAGCUGUGUGAUCCUGGGCAGACUGCUGAGCCUCUCUGAUCCUAAACUCCCCCACCUGGAAAUGAGGAGGCUGGAUGAGCUGGGCUGGCAGCUCUAACAAGCUGGUGUUCCCCUUCUGGGACUCUGCUGUCCUCAUGUCUCUCUUGCCUCCUGUUUUCCAGGUAGGGGCUGGCAGCGGUGAGGGCUUCAAUGUCAAUGUGGCCUGGGCUGGAGGUCUGGACCCCCCCAUGGGGGAUCCUGAGUACCUGGCUGCUUUCAGGAUAGUCGUGAUGCCCAUCGCCCGAGAGUUCUCUCCAGACCUAGUCCUGGUGUCUGCUGGAUUUGAUGCUGCUGAGGGUCACCCGGCCCCACUGGGUGGCUACCAUGUUUCUGCCAAAUGUUUUGGAUACAUGACACAGCAACUGAUGAACCUGGCAGGAGGCGCAGUGGUGCUGGCCUUGGAGGGUGGCCAUGACCUCACAGCCAUCUGUGACGCCUCUGAGGCCUGUGUGGCUGCUCUUCUGGGUAACAGGGUGAGCCGUCUCCCUCCCCCAUCCAUGCUUCUGUCAGGCAGGUAAGCCCGGCUCUCAGGACUACCCAAAGAGCAGGCAGAUGGGAUGGGACAGGGUGGGAGUGGCCAAGCCUGAAACAAGGUAGGCGAAGCGGAAGCCUCUGUUCCAAGUCAGGUCCAGACAGCAUCUCCUGGCCUAGGUAGAGUGUGCUUGUGGCUAGAAGGCUGGGGCCCCUGGGGUGGGAGUGAGCUGGGCCUGUGGGUCCCUGAGAGACUGGUGGCUGAUGUACUGUUUUCUAUAGGUGGAUCCCCUUUCAGAAGAA
RNAcentral lists this small RNA (1012 nucleotides) under Pan troglodytes (chimpanzee). RNAcentral describes it as "retained intron". The record is from RNAcentral. Lineage: Eukaryota; Metazoa; Chordata; Mammalia; Primates; Hominidae.